UACGGAGGGUGCAAGCGUUAUCCGGAAUCACUGGGCGUAAAGGGUGCGUAGGCGGGUCUUUAAGUCAGGGGUGAAAUCCUGGAGCUCAACUCCAGAACUGCCUUUGAUACUGAGGAUCUUGAGUUCGGGAGAGGUGAGUGGAACUGCGAGUGUAGAGGUGAAAUUCGUAGAUAUUCGCAAGAACACCAGUGGCGAAGGCGGUUCACUGGCCCGAUACUGACGCUGAGGCACGAAAGCGUGGGGAGCAAACAGG
RNAcentral lists this ribosomal RNA (253 nucleotides) under uncultured bacterium. RNAcentral describes it as "partial 16S ribosomal RNA". It matches the Rfam family "Bacterial small subunit ribosomal RNA", at positions 524 to 776 of the family's 1533-position model. The record is from RNAcentral.